ACUCUCCCCGCCACUCUGCUUCCCACUCACUCCCUCAGCAGCCUCCUGACAUCUCCACCCCUCUUCUCCAAACCACCCUCCCCACUGCAGCAGUCAGAGAAAUGUAAGCCUGAUGCACCAUUAUUCUGCCUGAAACCCUUCCGUGGUCCCCAGUGUCAUCAGGAUAAAGUCCAGACUCGCGGGUAUGACAUAGCAUCUGGCCUUUCCUUACCUCUAUGCAUGUUACUCACCCUACUUCCACCCCACCUGCCAACUUGCCAUAAUUAGGCUUCUGAAAUACUAUCCCCCAGCUCAUGAGCACAUGAAAUACUCCUCCUCCGUGAACCGCCCCCCCUUCUUCAGCACUAGGCACCCACUCCAGCGGCAGUGUUUACAGGUGUGUCUCUACUCCAAGCCCCAGGCUGCCAGGGUGAAGGGUGGCUGGAGCAGGGUCAGACUUGAAAGCCCCAGCACAGGGCCUGGCCCACCCAAGGAGUUCCGCGGGUCUGCUGAAGGAAGAAACUAGCAGUGGGCCAGAGAGCAGAGAGCAGUCACUGCAGGGUGGCCGGCCAGGGCCCUGAGACGGCGCCAACUGGAGGGCCGGUGGCCCAAGGCUGGGACUAUCCUGUCUCCUCCCUCUCCCGCCCUCGGCCCGGCCUCCCAACUCCCUACUUCGCGUGUCUGUAAACUGAACGCCCACUUUCCUCGCCUCUCCGCCGCUCAAGUUCUCCACGCUGUGUCCUGGGUUUCCCACUUCCCAGUGUCCUCCCCUUCACCUUGGGGGACAUAGCUGAGCCAGGGGGGGACCGGAUCCCAGCGGGUGGAGCAACCAGGUGAACCCUGAAAGGUAGGGCGGGGCGGGGGCAGUUGGGCCCCACCCCGGGAUCCGGUGACGCCGGGACUGGAAUUUGACACCGGUCGGCGGCAGGCAUGAGGCUGCUGAGGGAUGGAGUUGGGCCCGGCCCCCAGACACGGCCCACGGGCUCCACGAGCAGCAGGUCCCUCGGGCCCCAGCCCUCGCUGCAUCCUGGACCCAGAGCCCUGCACUUGAGCUGCCUCCAGAAGAGGGUGGGGGAACAAGUCGACUAGGCUGAUGGGAGAUCCUGGUAUUGACAGAGAUGGAGCCUGGACGUGGAGGCCCUUCUGUGCUGCCCCGCUGGCCCCCGCCCAGGCGGCAGCCUGCCCUGUGGCCAGCGCUGGCCACUCUGGUGCUGCUGAGCAGUGUUGCUGAGGCCUCC
This is a long non-coding RNA of Myotis brandtii (Brandt's bat), 1217 nucleotides long. RefSeq lists it as uncharacterized. NCBI's taxonomy places the organism in Eukaryota, Metazoa, Chordata, Mammalia, Chiroptera, Vespertilionidae. The transcript has 3 exons. The record is from RefSeq and is a predicted model, not a curated record.